Canis lupus familiaris (dog) is the source of this 614-nucleotide long non-coding RNA. RefSeq lists it as uncharacterized. Lineage: Eukaryota; Metazoa; Chordata; Mammalia; Carnivora; Canidae. The record is from RefSeq and is a predicted model, not a curated record. The transcript has 3 exons.
CAGCUUGUGGCAGAUUUUGCAAACUUCAUAGGAGUUCAGGUAUCAUCGCAUAAUAAUCUUACUCCUGGAAUGGUUUCAGAACCAAUGACCAGGUUUACUGGAUCCCCAAAAUGCCAUGGAAUCAGCCCACACCAGGGUAGAUUUGGGGGAUGGGUAAGGAGAGAAACAGAGUUGGAAUGAAGAUGUUGGAGACAACAGGAUAUAUUUGUGAAGAUACCAAAGUCAUUUCUACUCUCAACUCUGACAAUAGCUGGACUCUACGGGGAUGUUUUGAACUUGAAGCAUUCUCCAGGACUGGGCUGUUCACCUUUGCAUGUCUGUCUUGCCAUGAGAAGAUGCCAGGCCAGCCUGUUGGAAGAAUGUGAAAGACACGUGAGCCAGGAUGGCCUGGUUUGAUCCAGCUGACCUUGGAUGACCAAGCACUCAGCUGCAAGCCAGCCAGCUGCCUGCCAGACUUGCUGUAAGCUCCAUGUAAGGAAGAGGCUCCUUCUACUUUCUUCACUAUUAUACCUAUACCAGCCACCAAAUCUGUUGAGGGAAUGAAUCAUGACCUUGCUCAUUUUAAGUAUGUAAACUUCUCGAACAGAAGGACUUCAUCUUUCUACAAGUAUGGU